RNAcentral lists this ribosomal RNA (429 nucleotides) under bacterium. Its description in RNAcentral is "partial 16S ribosomal RNA". It matches the Rfam family "Bacterial small subunit ribosomal RNA", at positions 355 to 776 of the family's 1533-position model. The record is from RNAcentral.
UAGGGAAUCUUCGGCAAUGGGGGCAACCCUGACCGAGCAACGCCGCGUGAGUGAAGAAGGUUUUCGGAUCGUAAAGCUCUGUUGUAAGUCAAGAACGGGUGUGAGAGUGGAAAGUUCACACUGUGACGGUAGCUUACCAGAAAGGGACGGCUAACUACGUGCCAGCAGCCGCGGUAAUACGUAGGUCCCGAGCGUUGUCCGGAUUUAUUGGGCGUAAAGCGAGCGCAGGCGGUUUGAUAAGUCUGAAGUUAAAGGCUGUGGCUCAACCAUAGGUCGCUGUGGAUACUGUCAAACUUGAGUGCAGAAGGGGAGAGUGGAAUUCCAUGUGUAUCGAUGAAAUGCGUAGAUAUAUGGAGGAACAACGGUGGCGAGAGCGGCUCUCUGGUCUGUAACUGACGCUGAGGGUCGAAAGCGUGGGGAGCGAACAAG